UGUGGGAGGGGGCUUGCUCCCGAUAGCGGUGGCUCAGUCAUAUAUGCAUCGACUGACACUCUGCUAUCGGGAGCAAGCCCCCUCCCACA
Molecule: unclassified non-coding RNA, 89 nt
Filed under: Pseudomonas extremaustralis
Lineage: Bacteria; Pseudomonadati; Pseudomonadota; Gammaproteobacteria; Pseudomonadales; Pseudomonadaceae
Source: RNAcentral